UGGGGAAUAUUGCACAAUGGGGGAAAGCCCUGAUGCAGCGACGCCGCGUGAAGGAAGAAGUAUCUCGGUAUGUAAACUUCUAUCAGCAGGGAAGAAAAUGACGGUACCUGACUAAGAAGCCCCGGCUAACUACGUGCCAGCAGCCGCGGUAAUACGUAGGGGGCAAGCGUUAUCCGGAUUUACUGGGUGUAAAGGGAGCGUAGACGGAUCUGCAAGUCUGGAGUGAAAGCCGGGGCGUCAACCCCGGCAGUGCUUUGGAAUGACUGUGGAUCUAGAGUGCCGGAGAGGUAAGCGGAAUUCCUAGUGUAGCGGUGAAAUGCGUAGAUAUUAGGAGGAACACCAGUGGCGAAGGCGGCUUACUGGACUGUAACUGACGUUGAGGCUCGAAAGCGUGGGGAGCAAACAGGAUUAGAUACC
This 417-nucleotide ribosomal RNA is filed under the name uncultured bacterium. RNAcentral describes it as "bacterial SSU rRNA". It matches the Rfam family "Bacterial small subunit ribosomal RNA", at positions 355 to 786 of the family's 1533-position model. The record is from RNAcentral.